Molecule: long non-coding RNA, 933 nt
Filed under: Drosophila melanogaster (fruit fly)
Lineage: Eukaryota; Metazoa; Arthropoda; Insecta; Diptera; Drosophilidae
Description: long non-coding RNA:CR43857 (Dmel_CR43857)
Rfam family: mir-275 microRNA precursor family (bases 800-888)
Source: RNAcentral
CGCAGCUUUCGCCACUUUGGCCUUUUGCCGAUUUUCGGUUUAUCUCUGUGGGCAGGAAAAUCGGAAUCGAAUCGGCCCGGCCAUAUAAAAUAAAAGGCCAGACAGUGUCUGGGCUUUGGCACAGUCGUUCGUUUCGCACCAAAUGGGAGACAACAACGUAGGAGAAAAGAGACGUUUCAAAUAUAGAAUAUCAAGGGUCUGCCGAACGAAACGCAAGGAAAAGAGAAUUUGCUGAAUGAAAUGUAAUAAUUCGCUGACGGAUGACGUCACGUCCUAUGUGGUCAUUAGCACUCCAGUGGCGCAACCAGGGGGCCAAUACUACGCUCCGAAAUAGUUGGUAAAACCUUUGACAAUCAAACCAAAUUAAUUCACAAUUUUCAGCACUUGAAGAAUGGAAGACAACAAAGUGAAAAAACCCGCAAGUUGAAUCUAGAUACGCCCCUGGUUCCAGUUUUCUGCUCUCAUAUGACUAAUUUUGGCAUUGUUAUUGCAUAAAAUUCGCAUGGCGUCAUCAUCAUCAACGCGUACAACUACCAAGCUCGCAAAGAUCGUUAACCCCAAAGCGACGGAGACCUAAUACCAGGCACAAGGUCGACUCCCGUGACCCCCUCCCCAGAAGGGGGUCGCCAUUCGCUGAUGCAGUUUUGUUGCCAUGCGGCGGCCAAACAUCUGUCUCAGAACUGCAAAUGCUGAAAAAAAAACCUGACUGGGCUUGGCUUGGACUGGCCUGGCUCUUCAUCUUCAACUCCAGCCACCACAGUUCCUACUCGUUAUAUGUGAUGAUGUUCCCCCGACUGUAAAGUCUCCUACCUUGCGCGCUAAUCAGUGACCGGGGCUGGUUUUUUAUAUACAGUCAGGUACCUGAAGUAGCGCGCGUGGUGGCAGACAUAUAUCUCCAUCUUCACCAUAUAAAUAAGCGAAAUGCUCGCAGGC